Long non-coding RNA from Vicia villosa (hairy vetch), 1691 nucleotides. RefSeq lists it as uncharacterized. The transcript is spliced from 5 exons. The record is from RefSeq and is a predicted model, not a curated record. NCBI's taxonomy places the organism in Eukaryota, Viridiplantae, Streptophyta, Magnoliopsida, Fabales, Fabaceae.
UGAAACACCCACUUCUCCCUCACCCUUUCCCCCUCUUUCUCGUCUCUUUCUUCAUCUCUCCCUUUUCCCCUAUAAACCCUACCACAACCGCUCCUUUCACCACAUUUUUCAUGUUCUUUCUUCAACAAUAUCAGCUUCUUCUUUCACCACCUUCUUCAAUGUCAUCCUUCUUCUCUCUUUCGAUUUCUGCUUCCUAGCCAUGACUCUAAACUUUUCUUUUCAGGAUUCUAAGCUUUUCCUCUCAAACCCUAAGCACCGUGAGUCACCUUAUCUCUCAAUUUCUAUGCCUCUCAAUCAAAAACCCUUUCCUCUCAAUCUCUCCGCUCCACUCUCAUAUCUAAUCUCUCACAAAUCUCAACCAAAGAUGAACUCUCGUCUCUUCAUUCUUGCAAAAAUAUUUCGUUUUAGGAUUUCCUCUCUCAAAGGGUUUCUGCUGGGUCUCUUGACAGUUGUUAUAAGCAAUCAAUCAUGAUAGAAAGGGUAGUGACAAAACAACGUGACUGGAAAUCAACUACUUAGAGUCUCUUCAUCAUCAAGAGCUAAAGCUAAAGAAGCAACUAUCAAGCAAUCAGGAUAAGUUUUUUUAUAUAUUUUUUUGUUUCACUAUUUUGGUUUAAAUUUGACAUUUUCUUUUUAGUAAUCAGGAUAAGGUUUUUUUUUAUAUAAUUUUGUUUAACUUUGUUUGUUGGAAGUAUGCUGCAAGUAUUUAGAAUGUUAAAUAAAUUUAUUUGAAUUGUGGCCUUAUUAUUUGUGUAUCUGCAUUAUUAAUCUAAUGAACCUUUUCUUUUACUUGGUUUGUCAGUGGAAUCACACUUACAAAAUAUUGUUGGAGUUUUGGUCCUUUGCUUCUCAACAUCAAAUUUUUUUGUGGUGUAUUACUUUCAAAUGUAUCUGGCCUUAGUUAUCAUUGGUUUCUUGCAUGGUCUGGUGUUUUUACAUCUAGAUAGUCCAAUUGCUACCAUCUACAUGUAUACAUAUUGCGGUCACUACAUUCUUGGUUCCAAUGCAAGUUUGCUAGCCGACUGAAAAGAGAGGAAGUGUCCCUUCAACUUGUCCCAGCAAUGUACAACAGCAAGUGAAAUUUCUUGAUUAACUAGACAGUUGUGGAGUUGGUGUGGUUUCUGUAAAGGUGCGAGAUGCUCAAAGAUUCAGGCGUCGGUUUUAUCCCAUCGGUUGUGAGUUUGGCAAGGCAGCUUUUUAGUGCUCUGUAACGUUUGUCGACACCUCGAAUAUUAUGCUUUCAAUUAGGGAGUUCUCUUAGAUAUAUAGUUUCUCUCGGCAUGUGUUUGUUUUCUUCCUGUUAAUAAUUUUAUUAGGAUAUAUUUUUUAUGGUUUUAGGAGUUUGAACGGGUGUAAUUUUGGCAUCCGAUAUGCCUUGACAUGUAUGCUGUACUGUUUGUUAUUGACAUCCCUUAUGCCAAGCUUUAUGCUAAUGAUAUUUGCCCUUUCAAAAAAAAACUAGACAGCUGCCUUUAUGCAUAUUCACUUGGUGGGAAGUAGCUCAUUAGAUGUUUUAUAGUAUGUAGUUCUACUUAAUAGUGCAGACACUGUCGGGGUGUUUGUAGAAUAUUUUUUUAUCUACAGUAUUGGAGGUUUGUGCGGAAUCAUCAAAUUGACAAUGUUCAAUUGGAUAUGGAUCUCGAUGCUGCAUUUUAAUAUCGUUCAAACCGAGGAUCGUGCAAAAAUUUGCA